RNAcentral lists this ribosomal RNA (495 nucleotides) under uncultured bacterium. RNAcentral's name for it is "bacterial SSU rRNA". It matches the Rfam family "Bacterial small subunit ribosomal RNA", at positions 28 to 517 of the family's 1533-position model. The record is from RNAcentral.
GAUGAACGCUAGCGGCAGGCUUAAUACAUGCAAGUCGUACGGGAUCCGAGGUAGCAAUACUUUGGUGAGAGUGGCGCACGGGUGCGUAACACGUAUGCAACCUACCUUUAACCGGGACACAACCUUGAGAAAUUGAGGCUAAUAUCCCAUAACACUGCGAAGUGGCAUCACUAUGCAGUUAAAACUCCGGUGGUUAUUGAUGGGCAUGCGCGACAUUAGCUAGUUGGUGAGGUAACGGCCCACCAAGGCUACGAUGUCUAGGGGUUCUGAGAGGAUUAUCCCCCACACUGGUACUGAGACACGGACCAGACUCCUACGGGAGGCAGCAGUAAGGAAUAUUGGUCAAUGGGCGCAAGCCUGAACCAGCCAUGCCGCGUGAAGGAUGACGGCCCUAUGGGUUGUAAACUUCUUUUGUACGGGAAGAAACCUCUGGUCGUGUACCAGAGCUGAUGGUACCGUAAGAAUAAGCAUCGGCUAACUCCGUGCCAGCAGCCG